AACGAACGCUGGCGGCAUGCCUAACACAUGCAAGUCGCACGGACGUAGCAAUACGUUAGUGGCGCACGGGAGAGUAACACGUGGGAAUCUACCUUUUAGUUCGGAACAACACCGGGAAACUGGUGCUAAUACCGGAUACGCCCCGAGGGGGAAAGAUUUAUCGCUAAAAGAGGAGCCCGCGUCUGAUUAGCUAGUUGGUGAGGUAAUGGCUCACCAAGGCGACGAUCAGUAGCUGGUCUGAGAGGACGAUCAGCCUCACUGGGACUGAGACACGGCCCAGACUCCUACGGGAGGCAGCAGUGGGGAAUAUUGGACAAUGGGGGAAACCCUGAUCCAGCAAUGCCGCGUGAGUGAUGAAGGUCUUCGGAUUGUAAAGCUCUUUUGGCAGGGACGAUGAUGACGGUACCUGCAGAAUAAGCUCCGGCUAACUUCGUGCCAGCCGCCGCGGUAA
This 451-nucleotide ribosomal RNA is filed under the name uncultured bacterium. RNAcentral describes it as "partial 16S ribosomal RNA". It matches the Rfam family "Bacterial small subunit ribosomal RNA", at positions 29 to 523 of the family's 1533-position model. The record is from RNAcentral.